AGCAGCCGUGGUAAUUCCAGCUCCAAUAGCGUAUAUUAAAGUUGUUGCAGUUAAAAAGCUCGUAGUUGAAUUUCGGGGUUCUAUCGUUGGUCGGGCAAUUGUCUGUACUGGCAUGUGGAAUUUCUACCUUCUGAGGAACUAUCAUGUUAUUAAUUUAGCGUGGUGGGAAACCAGGACCUUUACUUUGAAAAAAUUAGAGUGUUCAAAGCAGGCUUAUGUCUGAAUACAUUAGCAUGGAAUAAUAAAAUAGGACAGUGGUCCUGUUUUGUUGGUUUCUGAAUCACCGUA
RNAcentral lists this ribosomal RNA (288 nucleotides) under uncultured Diversisporaceae. RNAcentral describes it as "partial small subunit ribosomal RNA". It matches the Rfam family "Eukaryotic small subunit ribosomal RNA", at positions 569 to 863 of the family's 1831-position model. The record is from RNAcentral. Lineage: Eukaryota; Fungi; Glomeromycota; Glomeromycetes; Diversisporales.